UGCUUUCAGUGACCCUUUUCGGUUAAAACUGAAUUUUGAAAAAAAUUCAAUGUACUGUCGCACUCAAUAUAAGUUGCAACACGAGCAUACAGCCGUCAGUUCUUUCGGUAAUAAAAAUGACAUGUACCAUUUUUCUUGUAAACAGGCAGGGGGCUACAAGUAAUCGGAACGGUGUUCAGUAAUUAUUUUCUGUAGGCGCUGCCAUGCUGCUAUACAGCACAGUAUGGCAGCAGGGCAGUGUCUCCACAGAAAAAAAAAAACGGAUUCUCUUGUUGCAACUCAUAUUGAGUGCAGUAGUGCCUCAGUCUUUUUUUUUUUUUUUUUUCGGUUGAAACCGAAAAUGCUGAACCUUAGAGAUACAGCACUUACAAUGGAUGAAAGACGAGAGCACGGGACAAGUACUUGUCCUGUGUUCUUGGCAGCCUCCAUGCCUUGUAGUAGCAUAUAAAUGUUUAUGGCCAGUUUUCUGCACCUAAAUUUACGUACUAUGUAAAUACUAUGUGCUGUUGCAGUUUACGGCAUGUACCACAUCUGCCACCAUGGCUGUGAGUGGCACUGGCCAACACUGACAGUGAUAGGUUUACUACACGUACACAAUUACCCAGAAAGUGGGUGGGGGGAACAGUUGCCAUGUGUCAUGUGGCAGUGGAAAGUACUCUUACCUUUUCAUUUCCUUUUUCUUUACGAUUUCUACAUUUUAACUUAAAAAGCAGUUCACUUCCCCUAUGCUUUCGUUGGCUUCAUUGUCUGUUGACUUUUUUUAGUUCUUUCUUUUUAUUGCCGCACCUCGCCCUUGCACCAGAAAAACCUAUAUAUCAUCAUACUUCUUACUUACUGUAUGGCUUACCAGUGACGCCAAUUCAACAUAGCCACAUUACUACAGGCACACACUUCAAUGCUUUUAUCGAGAUAUCUAGGUAUUUAUUAGGUGAAAAUAAAGAUGAUACUGGAUUGAGCA
Molecule: long non-coding RNA, 958 nt
Organism: Dermacentor silvarum
Lineage: Eukaryota; Metazoa; Arthropoda; Arachnida; Ixodida; Ixodidae
Exons: 2
Source: RefSeq, a predicted model, not a curated record